This 76-nucleotide transfer RNA is filed under the name Mycoplasmataceae bacterium. Its description in RNAcentral is "tRNA-Asp". It matches the Rfam family "tRNA". Rfam says of the family: Transfer RNA (tRNA) molecules are approximately 80 nucleotides in length. Their secondary structure includes four short double-helical elements and three loops (D, anti-codon, and T loops). Lineage: Bacteria; Bacillati; Mycoplasmatota; Mollicutes; Mycoplasmatales; Mycoplasmataceae. The record is from RNAcentral.
GGUCCUAUGGUAUAGUGGCUUAUUAUAUCCGCCUGUCACGCGGGUGAUACGAGUUCGAUUCUCGUUGGGACCGCCA